UACGUAGGGUGCGAGCGUUAAUCGGAAUUACUGGGCGUAAAGCGUGCGCAGGCGGUUCGUUGUGUCGGUGGUGAAAGCCCCGGGCUUAACCUGGGAAUGGCCAUGGAAACUGGCGAACUGGAGUGUGGCAGAGGGGGGUGGAAUUCCGCGUGUAGCAGUGAAAUGCGUAGAGAUGCGGAGGAACACCGAUGGCGAAGGCAGCCCCCUGGGCUAGCACUGACGCUCAGGCACGAAAGCGUGGGGAGCAAGCAGG
Molecule: ribosomal RNA, 253 nt
Filed under: uncultured bacterium
Lineage: Bacteria
Description: partial 16S ribosomal RNA
Rfam family: Bacterial small subunit ribosomal RNA
Source: RNAcentral